Asparagus officinalis (garden asparagus) is the source of this 519-nucleotide long non-coding RNA. RefSeq lists it as uncharacterized. The transcript is spliced from 2 exons. The record is from RefSeq and is a predicted model, not a curated record. Lineage: Eukaryota; Viridiplantae; Streptophyta; Magnoliopsida; Asparagales; Asparagaceae.
GCCUCGAAUUACAGAGUAUUUUCCUGUUGUUAUCUUCGAAAUGAGUGAUCACAACUGGCCAUAUUAGCUCCGGUUAUUACUGGCUUUUUAAUAACUGCGUGCUGGAAUCCCAACCGGCAUUUCAGUUUGAUCCUUUGCCAUGUAUCCACUUACAUGUUGAUCUCGGGAAGUUGCAUUCAAGGGGAUGAAAGGAUGUUAGUCUAUGAGUACAUGCCAAACAAGAGUUUAGAUGCCUUCCUGUUUGACGGAAAAAAGCAGAUGUCUCUGGAUUGGGAAAGACGGUACAACAUCAUUCUGGGAAUUGCUCGAGAACUUCUCUAUGUUCAUCAAGAUUCUAGAUUCCAAAUUAUUCAUAGGGAUCUUAAAGCAAGCAACAUUCUCCUUGACAACGAGAUGAACCCCAAAAUUUCGGACUUUGGCUUGGCUAGAGCUUUCGACGGAGAAGAAACAAAAAUAACGACUAAGAGAAUAGUUUUUUUGGUCAAUGAAAAAAUUAUAUUCAUUAAACCAUUUUGUAAA